UUUUAUCGGAGAGUUUGAUCCUGGCUCAGGACGAACGCUGGCGGCGUGCCUAAUACAUGCAAGUCGAGCGGAUUGAUGGGAGCUUGCUCCCUGAUAUCAGCGGCGGACGGGUGAGUAACACGUGGGUAACCUGCCUGUAAGACUGGGAUAACUCCGGGAAACCG
Molecule: ribosomal RNA, 164 nt
Filed under: Rossellomorea vietnamensis
Lineage: Bacteria; Bacillati; Bacillota; Bacilli; Caryophanales; Bacillaceae
Description: Bacillus vietnamensis partial 16S ribosomal RNA
Rfam family: Bacterial small subunit ribosomal RNA
Source: RNAcentral